AAGACUUUUAAAAUGCUGCUCAAUUUGUGAGCUGAAUUUAUGAGGUGAAUUAAAGUCUCCAAGUUAGCGGGUGAGAGUAUUUUUUAAUUGUGCCAUUAUAAUAUGAAGAAAAUGUAUAAAUGUAACGCUGCCAUCCCAGUUCCUAACAUUUUAAAGCCUCCUCAUAUUAUGGCAGUACUAUUAAACUACAUUGUAACUAUACUAGUAAUUGUCCUAGUAACUAUAUGAUUAUCUUUCCAACUGGCACUCACAUUAACUUCUCGCCUCACCCCUGCAACCUGAUUGGUGCAAACAAACUGGGGUGUUACCGUGUCAGCUGGCCGUGGAUGGAUAGCAUUGCUGCAUCCUGGAAAAGGAUUUAUGACCCAAUUAACUUUUUAAUCUUCAGGCUCCAAAACGGCCACAAUUACUUUUGGCUGUUUGCUGCUGAGCUCUGGCUACUGUUGGUGAUACGCUCAGAUACAGAUACAUCUUGCAGUUAAGCUUUUCUCCAGCAACAGGUGGUGGGAACUCUCCCUCAACGGCAGGAGCUUUCACUAUUAUUGGACCAACUUGUGAUAUUGCUUCCUCGGUGUAACUACAGGGUGUCUGUAAUAACCGACCAGAUUCCCUCAUCCUGAGCCUCGCUCCCAUGUACCAACACGCUCUGACAGCUGCAUUGAACAUAAGUUAAAUCAGCUUGAUGCAACUCCAGUCCAUUUCCUAUUCCACACACUCACAGACAAACACACGCACGGCACUCUGAGGAAAUAAAUGAAAGUUUAAAAGGUGGCCUCGCCGGUGAGUGUUUUGUGAGUGGGCGGGAGACGGCUGGCUGCAGAUCCUUCUGGAAAGCAGACAACUGGGAUAUGGAGCGAGGAGGCCAGAGACAGACACGGAAUGGGCAGCUAGAAAGAAAGAAAAAAAGAUGAGAAAAAUUACAUAAAAAGAGACUCAGACAGAAAUACAGCUGAGAUGAAGACAUUCUGAGAUGGAGGAAGAGUGCAGAAGAGAGGGAGGAAGUGGAGGCCAAAGAGAGAGAAAGAAAUUACUUAUUCAGAUUGGAAAUCUUUUUAUCGACCCGCUUUCUGCGGCUUCGUGGUUGGGGAAAUCUAUUGGUCGGACUACCACCCACCACCCCCUGCCAUGUCAGAGCGAUUUGCAACCAGAGGCCUCUAAAUCAAAUCUGGUUGACUGCAGACUUCUUGCUCCAAUAACAGAGAAACAACACAGAGAAAGUCACGAUUCAGUCAAAAGGAAAAUACAAUUUAUGCUAGUGUAACUUUAUAACCAUUGGCAGAAUAACCAUGGGCCUCUAAAAUCCUGCAUUCUACAUUUCCCUUUGCAUGCCAGUGGGUUGAUUGGUUUACGGCACUAAACAAGCGGACAGCAGCUUUCCUGCAACUAAAGUGGCAGAUGGCGGAACAGGGAGGACUUUAACAUGUUUAAAGCGAGAACAACGUAAGAUAGAAAAGAUAUAUCUUUAUUAGUCCCACAAUGGGGAAAUUCACACGAUUGCAGCAGCAAAGUGGGCAGUGCACACAAGAUAUAUAGUAAAAGCAACAAGAGCAGCAGUAAAAAGUAAGUAGGAAAAGAAAUGUAUAAUAAUAUAAACAAAAAUAAAAGUAAAAGGAGUGUAAAGACCACAGUAACUGAAUAUAAUAGGACCUAAUAAAUAUAAGUAUAUGUAGACAUAGUAUACCCCAGUGGAUAUUUCACAUUGUCAUUUUUAUUGCACAUUUUAGUAUUAGUAUUUAGUAUUAGUCUUGGUAAUGUUCUGUCGUUCACUGGGUGACUUGGUUGUGCAGCCUGCCAGCAGCAGGAAGGACCUGCAGUACCUCUCCUUCACACACCGUAUGUGAAUCAGUAACUGGGUGACGUGAAAGUUUGGCAAGCGCAACUAUAACUGCCAGCAUGAGAUGAGCUUCUUUGCCUGUGCUAAUUAUUAGAGCAGAUAUAAAGAUUAAGUGGGUUGCUACACUAUGCAGCAACAUGAUAAAACGUGCACCCAGUAAAGUGGGUGCAAUUGCAUACAUCAAGGUCGCUUUUAACUAUAUGUAACUAUCUAAAUCUAUAGAUUCAGAUCAACGGUACAAACAAAGAAACAUGUGACCUUUGUCAGGUCGAGCUGUGCACCACAUUUUUUAACCGUGUUUAAAUCCAACAAUUCAUCUGUUAUUGAGUUUCUAUAAAUUCAGUUUUCUGUGUAAAAAUGUAUUAGUAGUGCCGCUUUAUCACAGGAAAAUGGUGUAUUUAUUUUCAGCUUUCGUCCUUUCGUUUGGCUUUCCAAGAAAGCUGAUGCAACUCAGCUCAGCUGUCAAGUAGAGACGGUAACUGUUGGUUCUCAUGUUGAGACUCUCGGAAGAGGUGCAGAGAGCAUGAGAGAAGGGUAGGAGAUGGCAGGUGAGGGGAGAAGAAGCAAUAUAUAAUGUGGAAACAAGUGGAAGGAGGACAGAGGACGAGGGAGUAGAAUGGAAAGCUUGAGAUGGUGAUGAGGUGGAGGCGACAUACGAUGAGACUUACAGUAGAAUGGGAGAAUUUUGUGCAGUCUAUGGUAGUGAAAAAAAAAAAAGCCCUAAGGAAGAAUACAAUGUCAUCCAAGAAAAGAGUGAGAAAAUGAUGAUAACGGGGAUUUAAAUGUGGAGCAAAUGGUGGCAGAGAAGGAGCUGUCAGCGGCUGUUGGGACGCCAUGAAGAUGUGGUGAGUCCAUUGGGUCGGCACCUCGCUGUCAUCACCAUUAGCACUGAGACGCGUCAGAGGGAGAGAGGGAGAGAACGAGAGCGCGCAGACAUUAUGCAGGGGAAGGCUGCCUUACUCUGUGUGUUCUCAUGAAUGAAUUUACGUAGGUUAAUAAAGUGAAUGACAAAACUACAGCUCAGGGGGGAAAUGAGAGACAUGCUGGCAUCUGUAGAAUGACCUUUGGUCCCUGCUGUCAGCUCCUGCCGCCAGGCCGCAGGGGCCGAACAGAGGAGGUGGAAGGAACAUGAUGUCCUCAGCAAACACGCUGCAGUGUAAUUCAUGCAUCGCUCCUCUGGCUCCAGGGAAGGUUUUACACCGCGAUGAAGAGGCACAGCUACAGAGUUUCAGACGAGGACCAGGCACAAGCUGUCUCUGCAGGGCUGCAUGUGAGCUACACACUCAUUUUCCCGGAGCCAGUUCAUAAAAACAGGACGUGUACUGUAGCUUAAGGAUUUUGGGGAAUUUAGGAUUCCUUGUCGUAGAAUACCAAAAAGCAAAAACGACCAUCCAUGGUCUCCCUCUGAUUGGCUUUCUAGAAUAUCCUUACCCUGACCCUGACCGAUACGACCGAAAAGUGCUUGCCAAUGACAAGCAGCAGCAGUGGAGGGCGAUGCCCUACCAGGACUUAUGAUUUAGCAUCCAGAGAUGCAGACAGGGGAAAUGACGUGUAUGGCAAAAAGCAUACGCGAGCGAUAACGUGUCUUUGCAUAAUUUCAUCAGGCUUGUCUAAGGCAAUGCUUCAAAGCGGCCGUCAAAAUACAGGGACGGAAAUGCGGCUGCAUGGACCGGGGUUGCCGUGGAGAGGAACAAAUGCAGUCUGCUGUUCAUUGAUGAGGUCCAGAAGGAAGGACGAAACCAAGUUCUCCUCUGUCAAUGUGACCGAGCUUUGGCUCCAAUUAGCAUAUCAUCAUCCAUAAUCAGAGAGAAUUUAAUAACUGAUUACAAACACGCAGGCAUUUCCUCUUUGUGUGUUGUGUUCUAAAUCCUUCUGGGUUUCCAAUCUGCACAAGAGGUUGAAUUAAAUUUGUGAGUUACAAGUUUAGCGAGCCUUAGGAAUAAAAAGUCCUAAAUAAAACCGCUGCCAAAUCAGUUCCCGUUUAAUGCUGUUAAAUUGUACAAAAUUAAAUAACAUUCCUGUGAGCGAGUAGCUCUUAAUCCCAGAUUUUUAAUUAAUUGCUGGUUUUAAUUAAGUAAUUAGUUUUGAAUUUAACCGUAGCUACUGUAUGUUAUUUUCAUCAUGUUGAAAUAAAGCACAUGAUAGCAGCGUGUCCAAUCCGGAGCUUUCUGCCAGACUGUAACGUAACCUUGAAGUGUUCAGAGUGAACAGGAGCUUUUUCUAAACCUCUUUGUUUUGUUCUCAAAUGGUUCGGCUGUAGACGCUUGUGCACAAACGUAAUAAAGUUGAAAUGCUGAUUUGUUCGAUAACUGUCUGGAGAACAAAUCAAGAAGUUAAUCAGUACCGAGAUGUCAAUCAACUUUAGAGGCGACGAACUGAAUGUGUUAAUGGAUCCUGUUUUUAGUCUUGAACUGGAUUCAGUUUGCUCCUCUGACCUGCUGGUCAGCCCCUUCUGGAGCCGGUUGUGAGUUGUUCCUGUUGGUUAAUCAAUGUCAAUCCCUUUAAGAAGCAACCUCACUGAGACAACAGCAAACGCUCCACCUUACUGGCUCCAAAUAUGAAAUUGAUUUAGUCCACAGACACUUUAAUGGCCUAAAGCGUAGUCAUAUCAUUCCACUGCUGGAUGAGUUAAGCGUGGCUCCUCAGUGACUCCAUCUGUGCCCAUGAGUUUACAUCACUUCUGUCAUUUCAUCAGGUAGAGUAUACUAAGUAUUAAAAAGCGCUCCAGCAUUACUAGCAUAGCAUGACCAUUUCUGAAGAUAAAACUUUUAACAUUUAAACACAAUGAUGAUUCUUCAUUCUUAGUCAAAAUCAUGUUGGAUUCUGACUGUCUUUGAAUCCAUGAAGAAUAUUUACUGUGAUGUUACUACUUUUACCUAGUACUCACCCCUGUAUCUUUUCAAUUAGUUCUGACCCCGGUUACAUGAUAAAUGUAUAGCUUUUUAAAAAUGUAUUACUGCGCUAAAUAUUAGGGAAAAGAAUAUAAACAUUAUGGAAACAAAGAGCCUGCAGAGCCCGUCAGAGCAGAGCCAUAGUUAUGGAACUGACCCUGCAACACAACCUUCCCACCCAUCAGGACGCUGCCAGCCACUGAUCAGUGUAAUAACACAUCAGAACACGGUGCUUCUCCCAGGAACCUUUACCAAGGUCAAAGUACAGAGUUCAAUGUAUUGGGUGAAUAAUUCCCACAGAUAUUACCUCACAUUUCCACAGGAUGGAUGUAUCCACAGGUCUCUUUGUCCACACUGAUUUUCUUAUAUCAGAUCGAUAUCAGCUCCUGCAGGUUGCGAUAUUCCCCGGGCUUUUACCCAGAAUAUCAGUGCGUACCGAGCGGAGCUGUAUGGAAACAGACUGGACUGUGUGAAGUUAAACAUUUCCUCUGGUCCAAAGAAUGUACUGUAGUUUUGUUUGGCAAUGAAGAGUCAAGUGUCCCCCGGGUGAAAUCCCAUCAGCUAUGACAGCUCUCUACUACAGCCCAACAACUCUGAGUCCGUACAGGAACAUCGCUAUAGCCCAUCAAGGUCGUUAUUGGACAAUAAGAGAAAAUUGUCCCAUGGUUUGAUGACGUAUUACGAAGACAAUAAAAAAAGAACAGUGAGUGAGUGGAAGUGGGUGCGUCAAACAAAUAACAACAAAUUACCAAGAGUGUCCAAAAGUGUUGUUGAGUAAUUGUGAAGCUUUUCCUUACUAAUGUUACUUUGCAUUCUUUUAUAUUCGAAUUUACUUGUAAAUCAUGCCCUAUUGUUCCAUGUACGCACCACCCACCAUGACAAUUUCCUGGUCUGUCCAACACACUCGGCAAAUAAAUGUUUCCGAUUCUGAUUUUACUUACUUUACGUACUUAUUUUAAGCCCAGCCAUGAUGUUAUUCCUAAACCAAACCUUUACAUUCACCAGUCUAGCCACAUGUUCACUGCAACCUUAGAAAGUGAUGCCAGAAGUUCUGACCAAUCAGCAGCACUCAAUAGAGUUGGGAUGAGAAGGCCAGCACGCACCGGCUGUGAUAUCUCAUGUGAGCCGACAUACAAGAUCACCACGGAUACACGCAUCGCAUAUAUCCUGCAACCGCGGUUCAAAGUUACGUAAUAGCAAGUAUAAAAAUAAUAAAAAGUCACAAGAAGUAGGUGGGAAGCGUUAACCAGACACAGGACUUUUUGUACUGUGUCACAGGCUGUUUGUGUCUCACAUGAAGCAACUAACUGCACGACACUAAAGGCCGGCGCACACCUCUGCGUUUGCGUCGACGCGCUCGUUUUAAGUCAUGGUUCUGCGGGUGUUGCAGAGCAAUUCACCGCCACAACAACAGGCGGAGUGACGUGUUUUUGUUGAAGACGACCUAGAGAGUCACGUCUAUUUAUUUAUUUGUUUAUUUAUUUAUCAUAGACUUUAUUGCCCCGUGCAUCGCCACUGCUGCUUUUCAUCGCGGACACAUUUGUCCCAUAUUUUCCUCCACAACUUUGUGCACCUCUCGACCGGCAAACCGGCGUUUGCGGCGAUCUCCCUCCAUGAAUCCAACCUGCUUAUACAAGCCGCCAAUGACUGCUUGUAUUUACUCAUUUCUUCAGACAAAAGUUCUUAAAUCUGCUCUGUUCUCUCGUAAACAUUCUUCGUUUUAAUAAUGGCGGUAUCGGGCUGUGAAAGCGGAAAUGUGAGACUCCGUGAAGGACGUAGUUAGCGGACCAAUCGCAGCCUGGUGCGCUGCGGGAGAAAAAUGUCUCGACACACGCAAGGACGCAAGGAGGUGUGAAAAGCGACGCA
This is a long non-coding RNA of Gasterosteus aculeatus aculeatus (three-spined stickleback), 6591 nucleotides long. The record is from Ensembl. Lineage: Eukaryota; Metazoa; Chordata; Actinopteri; Perciformes; Gasterosteidae.